CCGCCUGGCGUGCGAUAAUGCCCCGGUAAGGCAACGAUGGUGCAGGAAGCCGGUGUGAAUCCGGCACGGUCCCGCCACUGUGAUCGGGGAGCGACCCUCAACAGCCACGGCUCUGAUGGAGCUGGAAGGCGAGGCGAGCGUUGAUCCGAGAGUCAGGACACUCACAUCGUCGCAUCCUGCGAC
This 183-nucleotide non-coding RNA is filed under the name Mycobacterium longobardum. Lineage: Bacteria; Bacillati; Actinomycetota; Actinomycetes; Mycobacteriales; Mycobacteriaceae. The record is from RNAcentral.